Molecule: long non-coding RNA, 1439 nt
Organism: Felis catus (domestic cat)
Lineage: Eukaryota; Metazoa; Chordata; Mammalia; Carnivora; Felidae
Exons: 2
Source: RefSeq, a predicted model, not a curated record
GCCAAUCAGGUGAUGUGAGGAAAUGGGUCAUUGGCUCCCCCUGUAACCAGCCUCCAUGUCACAUCCUGAGACCAUAGGGGCUUCUCCUCAUGCCUGGCAGACUCACCCUCCUGUACCGAAUGGAAAGAAGCUGCUUGGAAACACAGGGCUGGAGCACCAGACCCCACAGAACAGGGCCUGGCAGCACCUCCUGGCUGACCAACUCCUUUUUUUUUUUUUUUUGUAUCUCAGAUGGAACACGAACCUGACCGAUGCCUUUAAAGAUCAGGGACAUUUUCUGGAUGGAACUAAUGCCUUGGAAACAGCACAGACUCAAGCUGUUUGGAAACAGGGUCCCACCGCAGCAAGGUGGGACAGAGAGGACCAAGCUGGUGAAAGCAAGCACAUCCCACUUACUUUGUUGUCAUCUCCGUAUUUGAUCAUUUCGUGAGCAAAGUCAUCGGUGGGUUUGACACGGACAAAGGUAUGAACUUUUUUCCUAGUACCCAUUCUAGCUAAAAAGAAGAAAACAGUGCAGCUUUCAGUAGUUAUCAUCAAGUGGCAAUGCAUUAAGAAGAUCAGAAUGGAGUGACUGACACUCGGUCUGUGUUCUUCUGUCCCAAUGAGACCCAGUCUUCCUUUUCACCCCUUCGCGUGUCAGUGCUCUACCCACAGGACCCGCUGUUCAACAAGUACAGGCGCUUCCUACUUUACAGGCUGCCUCACUAUUUUCCACCAUGGCCCCCUAAGAGACAGAAACACGAAGCAAGAAGAACGCUCCCUUUAGUGGCCUAAUCUUAGAUGUGUUUCCUAAAAAUGGUCUGUACCUAAAAAUGUCCGCUUAUGCUUUGCCUCAUUCAUUAUGCUUUCAUCUAAAAUACUUACUAUGAAAUGCAUUUAAACUUAAUUUUCUUGUCUUCACGAACAUAUGUUAUUUCAGAUGCAGCAGCCCCUCCUUUACCUCCGUUUGACCAGCUUAGAUCAGAAAAUGAUUCCCUAGAAGUGUAUUUAAUCAGUCCACGAUCAGAUACUCUUUCUUUUCUGACAGUCCAUUGAGAAAAAAUCAAACAGCCCUCUACCUCCUCGUCUUCUCGUCAACCUAACUAGAGUUUCAUCAUUUUCUUUCAGGUAGAUCCACUUAAUCUGUAUUCCUUUAUUUAUACUACCACAGAUAAUUACCGUGUAUAACAAAAUGUCAAAAUAAAUGCUUGGUGUGGCUUCAUGGAAUAGGAUGUAAGCAUAUAGGUGUAUGUGUUUAGGGAGGGAGAUUUAGGUAAAUGACCUUCCUACUAUGUAGAGCUGUCCUAUAAUGGAAAAGACUCAAGCAAGGUCAAGAUGCCAGCUAACAGAGAUGUUGCUAGCAGGGACCGUUGCACUGAGGGGAGAGUUAAUUAAUUUCUAAGAUCCUGUCCAACUGAAGUAUUUUAUUAAAAUUUUAAAAAAUUGAUUGCACAAUCAAA